CGAGCGAGGCCGGGGGGGCAACUCCCCGAGUCGAGCGGCGAACGGGUGAGUAACGCGUGGAUGACCUGCCCUUCAGUGGGGAACAACCCGGGGAAACUCGGGCUGAUACCGCAUAAGACCGUGAGGUGAAAGGGGCCCGCAAGGGUCUCGCUGAAGGAGGGGUCCGCGUCCGAUUAGCUGGUUGGUAGGGUAACGGCCUACCAAGGCGACGAUCGGUAGCCGGCCUGAGAGGGUGAUCGGCCACACUGGAACUGAGACACGGUCCAGACUCCUACGGGAGGCAGCAGUGGGGAAUUUUGCGCAAUGGGCGAAAGCCUGACGCAGCAACGCCGCGUGGAGGAUGAAGGUCUUUGGAUUGUAAACUCCUGUCAGCAGGGAAAAAGCGACCUGACCUCAUACGUCAGGGAGUUGAUUGUACCUGCCGAGGAAGCCCCGGCUAACUCUGUGCCAGCAGCCGCGGUAAUACAGAGGGGGCAAGCGUUAUUCGGAAUUAUUGGGCGUAAAGGGCGCGUAUGCGGCCUGGCAAGUGGUGGGUGAAAUCCCUCGGCUUAACCUAGGAACUGCCCCCCAAACUGCCUGGCUUGAGGCCGGGAGAGGCGAGUGGAAUUCCCAGUGUAGCGAUGAAAUGCGUAGAUAUUGGGAGGAACACCACUGUCGAAGGCGGCUCGCUGGACCGGUUCUGACGCUGAGGCGCAAACCUCUGUGGAGCAAACGGUAUUAGAU
This 723-nucleotide ribosomal RNA is filed under the name uncultured Acidobacteriota bacterium. RNAcentral's name for it is "bacterial SSU rRNA". It matches the Rfam family "Bacterial small subunit ribosomal RNA", at positions 63 to 783 of the family's 1533-position model. The record is from RNAcentral. Lineage: Bacteria; Pseudomonadati; Acidobacteriota.